RNAcentral lists this ribosomal RNA (469 nucleotides) under uncultured archaeon. RNAcentral's name for it is "bacterial SSU rRNA". It matches the Rfam family "Archaeal small subunit ribosomal RNA", at positions 1 to 471 of the family's 1478-position model. The record is from RNAcentral.
UUCCGGUUGAUCCUGCCGGAGGCCAUUGCUAUCGGAGUCCGAUUUAGCCAUGCUAGUCGCACGGGUUUAGACCCGUGGCAAAUAGCUCAGUAACACGUGGUCAAACUGCCCUGUGGACACGGAUAACCUCGGGAAACUGAGGCUAAUCUGUGAUACAGCUCUCACGCUGGAUUUGCAGAGAGCUGGAAACGCUCCGGCACCACAGGAUGUGACUGCGGCCGAUUAGGUAGACGGUGGGGUAAUGGCCCACCGUGCCGAUAAUCGGUACGGGUUGUGAGAGCAAGAACCCGGAGACGGAAUCUGAGACAAGAUUCCGGGCCCUACGGGGCGCAGCAGGCGCGAAACCUUUACACUGCACGACAGUGCGAUAGGGGGACUCCGAGUGCGAGGGCAUACAGUCCUCGCUUUUCUGUACCGUAAGGUGGUACAGGAACAAGUGCUGGGCAAGACCGGUGCCAGCCGCCGCGGU